UACGUAGGGGCUAGCGUUAUCCGGAAUUACUGGGCGUAAAGGGUGCGUAGGUGGUUUCUUAAGUCAGAGGUGAAAGGCUACGGCUCAACCGUAGUAAGCCUUUGAAACUGGGAAACUUGAGUGCAGGAGAGGAGAGUGGAAUUCCUAGUGUAGCGGUGAAAUGCGUAGAUAUUAGGAGGAACACCAGUAGCGAAGGCGGCUCUCUGGACUGUAACUGACACUGAGGUACGAAAGCGUGGGGAGCAAACAGGAUUAGAUACCCCUGUAGUCCCUGAGCGGG
This 280-nucleotide ribosomal RNA is filed under the name uncultured prokaryote. Its description in RNAcentral is "partial 16S ribosomal RNA". It matches the Rfam family "Bacterial small subunit ribosomal RNA", at positions 524 to 803 of the family's 1533-position model. The record is from RNAcentral.